Molecule: ribosomal RNA, 468 nt
Filed under: uncultured bacterium
Lineage: Bacteria
Description: partial 16S ribosomal RNA
Rfam family: Bacterial small subunit ribosomal RNA
Source: RNAcentral
GACGAACGCUGGCGGCGUGCUUAACACAUGCAAGUCGAACGGAAAGGCCCUGCUUUUGUGGGGUGCUCGAGUGGCGAAAGGGUGAGUAACACGUGAGUAACCUGCCCUUGACUUUGGGAUAACUUCAGGAAACUGGGGCUAAUACCGGAUAGGAGCUCCUGCUGCAUGGUGGGGGUUGGAAAGUUUCGGCGGUUGGGGAUGGACUCGCGGCUUAUCAGCUUGUUGGUGGGGUAGUGGCUUACCAAGGCUUUGACGGGUAGCCGGCCUGAGAGGGUGACCGGCCACAUUGGGACUGAGAUACGGCCCAGACUCCUACGGGAGGCAGCAGUGGGGAAUAUUGCACAAUGGGCGGAAGCCUGAUGCAGCAACGCCGCGUGCGGGAUGACGGCCUUCGGGUUGUAAACCGCUUUCGCCUGUGGCGAAGCGUGAGUGACGGUAAUGGGUAAAGAAGCACCGGCUAACUACGUG